This 399-nucleotide ribosomal RNA is filed under the name uncultured bacterium. RNAcentral's name for it is "bacterial SSU rRNA". It matches the Rfam family "Bacterial small subunit ribosomal RNA", at positions 356 to 773 of the family's 1533-position model. The record is from RNAcentral.
GGGGAAUAUUGCGCAAUGGGGGAAACCCUGACGCAGCGACGCCUCGUGAGUGAUGAAGUCCUUCGGGACGUAAAGCUCUGUCGGCAGGGACGAUAAUGACGGUACCUGCAAAGGAAGCUCCGGCUAACUACGUGCCAGCAGCCGCGGUAAUACGUAGGGAGCGAGCGUUGUCCGGAUUUAUUGGGCGUAAAGCGUGCGUAGGUGGUUUUGUAAGUUAGAUGUUAAAUGCAUGGGCUUAACCCAUGUCUGCGUCUAAUACUGCAGAGCUAGAGGGCAGGAGAGGAAAGCGGAACUCACAGUGUAGCGGUGAAAUGCGUAGAUAUUGUGAGGAACACCAGUGGCGAAGGCGGCUUUCUGGACUGCACCUGACACUGAGGCACGAAAGCGUGGGGAGCAAAC